UGAGGAAUAUUGGACAAUGGAGGCAACUCUGAUCCAGCCAUGCCGCGUGAGUGAAGAAGGCCUUAGGGUUGUAAAGCUCUUUCAAUAGUGAAGAUAAUGACGGUAGCUAUAGAAGAAGCUCCGGCUAAAUUCGUGCCAGCAGCCGCGGUAAUACGAAUGGAGCAAGCGUUGUUCGGAAUCACUGGGCUUAAAGCGUGCGCAGGCGGAACUGAAAGUCAGGAGUGAAAUCCCGGGGCUCAACCCCGGAACUGCUCUUGAAACUCCAGUUCUAGAAUCCGAUAGAGGUAAGGAGAAUUCCUAGUGUAGAGGUGAAAUUCGCAGAUAUUAGGAGGAAUACCAGUGGCGUAGGCGCCUUACUGGGUCGGUAUUGACGCUCAUGUACGAAAGCGUGGGGAGCAAACAGGAUUAGAUACCCCCGUAGUCC
Molecule: ribosomal RNA, 424 nt
Filed under: uncultured prokaryote
Description: bacterial SSU rRNA
Rfam family: Bacterial small subunit ribosomal RNA
Source: RNAcentral